GAGAGAGGUUAUAGAACACUAAGAACUGCUAAUUCUUAUAUCCACAGUUAAACUCUGUGGCUCACUCG
Molecule: transfer RNA, 68 nt
Filed under: Hoplias intermedius
Lineage: Eukaryota; Metazoa; Chordata; Actinopteri; Characiformes; Erythrinidae
Description: tRNA-Ser
Source: RNAcentral